GAGCUAUCACCGGCCAGUAUUGCCAUUUGAUUUCCGACCGUGCUAUUUUAUUUUCUUUUCUGUUCUAACGUUUUAUGGUCUUAUUUUCUGUUAAUUUUGAACUUAGUUUUUUAUUUUAUUUUUUUUCUUAAUUAUGAGUUCGUAUUUCUUUUACAUGGUUUCUUCGUUUUAUUUAGUUGUGUUUUGAGUAGUUUUUAAUUCGUAUUCAGCUUUGCCUUGCUAGAUAAACCAAAUAACUAAUAUACGAGGAAAGAGGUUAUAUCAAGUGUUCCACGGAAUUUCCUCGGUAUUUCUUAAAAGAAAAAAAAAAUCAAUGGUAGUCUGUUUCCG
This 330-nucleotide long non-coding RNA is filed under the name Brassica napus (rape). RNAcentral describes it as "long non-coding RNA (BNAP_LNC024892)". The record is from RNAcentral. Lineage: Eukaryota; Viridiplantae; Streptophyta; Magnoliopsida; Brassicales; Brassicaceae.